UCCCUUUUAUAUGCGGGGGUCGGUUUACCUGUGAUGUAACAGGGCGAGGCCGUAGUACGGCUUGGCAUGUUGUUCAGGUCGGCGCUCGGUCAGCCGAAUCAUUGCACUGAUGUCGGCGGUAUGGCCGAGAUCAGAGACUUAUCAUAGUCGACUAGACCCUGCUGGGUCGAUUUGCCGUGGAGAGCUGGGGAUCCGUAGAUGUCAGGAGCCAUGCGCAUUUAUUGUGGAGUAAGUCAGAGAUCCGCAUUUAUUAUGGAGUAAGCCGGAGAUCCGCAUUUAUUGUUGAGUGUGCCGGAAGAUUACAGCGGCCAUGCGCAAUAAAUGCCGGAGGGGUGUUAGAGUACGGUCCUCGGACAUCGGGGUUUCUCUUAGGUCGGAGGUUUCGGGGUCGGUCGUCUUGUGGCCGAGCGUUCCGAGGUCGGACGCUGACUUCGGCUGUCUGGGGUCGGAGGUUGUACGGCUUCUUAGGGGCAUUUAUGUCAUUUGGGGGGAAACUUUAUUCCCCCCAACAG
This 512-nucleotide long non-coding RNA is filed under the name Phoenix dactylifera (date palm). RNAcentral's name for it is "long non-coding RNA (PDAC_LNC003234)". Lineage: Eukaryota; Viridiplantae; Streptophyta; Magnoliopsida; Arecales; Arecaceae. The record is from RNAcentral.